AGACUUCCGCCUCUAACCGCCGUAAAGAGCCCGAUCCCGGAACUUGGGUUGACCGGUGAUCGGAGAUUCAGCCAAGUCAAUAAAAUGGGUUUAGGCUUCGUAAUUGGCGCAUUUGGAGUCAUGAUUCUCGCUCAUGCAGCUUACACAACUAUUCAAUGUAAUAGCAUAUUCAAUAUCCUGGAUCGUAGAAUCAAUCUAUUAUCAAAUUUUUGGUGCUUUUCAUGUUCUCUUUUCUUUUAAUUUUGUUUGGCCUGGAUACAGAUAGAGGUUUGUUGAAGAUUAUGGAGGAGGAGUUUUCAGGACCUCCAAUGAAUGUAAGUUUUUUUUUCCCCUUUUUCCUUUUUUCCCUGUUACUUAUAUGUUUGAUUAUUUUAUUUUUAUUUGUUUUGGUUGAUGGGUCUGUGGCCUUUUGCUUCUCUGUUUUUUAUACUUAUUUUGGUUGGACUGCAGGUGGUGGUAGAGUUGCUUCUAGGGUUAGUGUUGUGUAUGUGGGCUGCUUUAACUGUACCGGGAAAGUUCCUAUCUAUACACCCUCAUUCUGAUGAGAAUAGGUAUUGUUGGUUAUCUUUCUGCUUACACUUUGUUAACUGGGAUUUCUUUGUAUUAGAUUAGAGUAUUCUAUGCCAUUCAAUUGAGCAGUGAUUAUUAGUGGCUGUUCAAUAUUAACCCAAAAUAUGAUAAAAUUAGAUUAUUGAAUACUUUGAAAUUUGGCUAUAUGUUGAUAGAUUUAGCCCUACAUAAAAUAACUUUUGAACCAUGAAAGGAGUGCUUAUAGGACAAUCUGCUUAUAGGAGUCACAAGUAACAAAUACUCAGGUUGCUUUGUUGUUGUUGUUGUUGCUGCUGCUUGUUUGUUUUUAAAAAAGUGCAAUUGGAAUUAUAUCAUUGCUUAUAAAGUUUAUAUGUAUAAGCUGACAAAGUAUUGUGGCUGGAUUUGAUUUCUCGCAAAGAGGAAAUUAAUUAGUUUCUUAUGUUUGUAAAGUAUGAUUUAUUUUCCCUACACUUAUUGAAGUUGGACUCUUAUGAAUAACAUAUUGGACAUCAACUUAUUUUGAGUAGCUGACACGCUAUGAAGUUUUAUUAUUUUAAUUUCUAAUAUUAAUGGUCUCUAUGGAUGUUGCACAUCUCAGAUUUGGGUUGGUUGAUACAUGGGAUGUUUUGAUUGGGCUUAACAGUUAAACCCCUAUUUAAGAAGCAGCUUGUAAUUCAAGGAUGAAAAUAUAUCCAUGAUAGCUCAUUAGUUGUGCUUUCUGGUCCUAUUUGUUUGUGGAGGAAUUAUUAAGUGGACUUAGUCUAUCAUGUCAUCCCUAUCAUAUUAGAUAGUGAUGGAUAAACUUGUCAUUAUGUAUAAUCAACCUUGAAUUGUGAAUAAUGCGAAAAAAAAAUAUCAUUAGAUUAGUAAACCCAUGUGGUAGGCUAGUCUACAAGAGUAUUUCUUGUGCUUGUGAAGGUUGUUUCUAAAGGAUCAAUGGCUAUAUAGGGGUUGUCCCAAUAUUUAUGCUAUUCAUUUAACAUUUUUUUAAGAACUAGUGCAGCCUGCCAUCAGUUGAAAUUAUGAUUGCUAAUGCCAACCCCCGUGGUGUGUUGUUCUAAUUUUGGUUCUUUGAUAAGGAAACUUAAUUAAAAAUGAACAUAAUUUAACUGCAUAUUCUUAUUUUCAAAUUUCAAUGCAAAAAAGUUACAAGUUCCUAGCAAUUGGAAGAGAAUUAUUAUAUGUUCCGUAUAAUGAGAUGCUUACCAACUUGUACCAGAUGAAGUUGCUAGUAAACCACAAAAUGGUUUCUAUUACUUCACAUCUAGCUGAAAAAGGGAAGAGGUUCUUUAAGUUUUUCCAUCACAGCCAAUAGUUUUAGAGGUUGAACAAAAUUUGGACUAACUUGUAAGCUAACAUAAUUAUUUUUUUUUGGGUACAAAGACGUGUUUAUGGAAGUUAAUUUGCUAAAUAAGGAACAAAUUGAUUCUGGAUAUAAGGUACAUAGGAAAAUUAAGCUGUAUGGCCCUUUUCUUGCAUCAUUUGUCAAGUUUAUUCUGUUGUAUGCUAGUUUGUUCUACAUAAAGUCAUAUUUGUAUAGAUGCUAAGUGAAAAUUUUCUCAUAUUAGAAAAUGUAUCCAAUCCUACAAAACCAUUAUAAUUGAAUAAUUUUAUCAAUAAUAAUGCGUAGGACCAAGACAAUUUUUAGCAAAGCCUGCAUGUUUUACGAAAUGAUGCUGAAUUCAGAGUAGACAAUUUUUUUGCUCACAUUUUUUGCCCAGCCUGCAUGUUUGAGAGUUAAUCUUUUGAAAUGAUGCUGAUAUUACUGAUAUUCUUACAAGGAUAAUGCCUUGUUGACACAAAAAAUUGCAUAUUCUUGAAUCAGGAUAGUAUCUUUACCUGCCAAUAUGGACUUCAUGAUCUUCAACCAUCGUGGCAAAGCAUUUCCUUCAGGAAUGGACAUGAAAC
This 2439-nucleotide long non-coding RNA is filed under the name Manihot esculenta (cassava). RNAcentral's name for it is "long non-coding RNA (MESC_LNC004337)". The record is from RNAcentral. Lineage: Eukaryota; Viridiplantae; Streptophyta; Magnoliopsida; Malpighiales; Euphorbiaceae.